RNAcentral lists this small nucleolar RNA (206 nucleotides) under Oryzias sinensis (Chinese medaka). RNAcentral's name for it is "Small nucleolar RNA U3 (ENSOSIG00000011288.1)". It matches the Rfam family "Small nucleolar RNA U3". From Rfam's summary of the family: Small nucleolar RNAs (snoRNAs) are involved in the processing and modification of rRNA in the nucleolus. There are two main classes of snoRNAs: the box C/D class, and the box H/ACA class. Lineage: Eukaryota; Metazoa; Chordata; Actinopteri; Beloniformes; Adrianichthyidae. The record is from Rfam by way of RNAcentral.
AAGACUCUACUUUCAGGGAUCAUUUCUUUAGUUUGGAACUAGAGGAUUGUGUUUCUACAGAGGUUGGUCUUGCUGCCCAUGAUGAUGAAUGAAGAUGUUUCCUUCAGAGCAGGAAGCUGGUGAGAAGAUGAGAAUCUUCUUCACUGAUGAAGACUGUUCAGUGUUUCUGGAUGUGACACUGAAGGAGGAAACAUUGUCUGAGUGGA